UCUUUUUUCACUUACAAAGAGACAGAGAAACAACUGAACAUGGAAAAAGUGAAGUCUUGAGAGUUACACCAGGAUUGAACAGUGGAUGAAUACUAGAAGACAUUGCAACUGCUGCAAUAUACAUAAGUUUUAUGAUACAGUUUUCUGUUACACUGUGAAUGA
Pipra filicauda (Wire-tailed manakin) is the source of this 162-nucleotide long non-coding RNA. RefSeq lists it as uncharacterized. The transcript is spliced from 2 exons. Lineage: Eukaryota; Metazoa; Chordata; Aves; Passeriformes; Pipridae. The record is from RefSeq and is a predicted model, not a curated record.